This 27-nucleotide non-coding RNA is filed under the name Mus musculus (house mouse). Lineage: Eukaryota; Metazoa; Chordata; Mammalia; Rodentia; Muridae. The record is from RNAcentral.
UUCAGCUAAAUCGGAUGUCUUGAUCCA